RNAcentral lists this ribosomal RNA (460 nucleotides) under Steinernema sp. YNb112. Its description in RNAcentral is "partial 28S ribosomal RNA". It matches the Rfam family "Eukaryotic large subunit ribosomal RNA", at positions 358 to 821 of the family's 3401-position model. The record is from RNAcentral. Lineage: Eukaryota; Metazoa; Nematoda; Chromadorea; Rhabditida; Steinernematidae.
GGAAAGUUGCAAAGUACUUUGAAGAGAGAGUUCAAGAGGACGUGAAACCGGUAGGAUGGAAGCAGAUGAAGUUGACGAACGUGUGUCGUAUUCAGAAUCGCUGUCAGCGGUUUGUUUUUACGGCCGAUGUGGGCCGGCGGCUUUGGUCAAUGCAACGCGUCUAGCGUCGAUGGAGACCCUGCGGAGGGAUAAUCGGUCGGCGUACGGUGCUUGGUAUGGCUAAGGUUUCGCCGGUCUUAAAGUCAGCGCCUCAUCUGACCCGUCUUGAAACACGGACCAAGGAGUGUAGCCGUUUGCGCAAGUCUUAUAGUGUGUCGAAACUUUGAGGCGUAACGAAAGUAAAUGCAGUUUAACCUGCUGACUUGGGAUGCGUUGUCUCCUGUGGACGGCGCUGGACCAUGGUUUUAUCGCGAUCGCUUGCGAUGCGGUGAAAAUAGAGCGUAAACGGUGCGACCCGAAA